RNAcentral lists this ribosomal RNA (253 nucleotides) under uncultured bacterium. RNAcentral's name for it is "partial 16S ribosomal RNA". It matches the Rfam family "Bacterial small subunit ribosomal RNA", at positions 524 to 776 of the family's 1533-position model. The record is from RNAcentral.
UACGUAGGGUGCGAGCGUUAAUCGGAAUUACUGGGCGUAAAGCGUGCGCAGGCGGCUUUGCAAGACAGAUGUGAAAUCCCCGGGCUCAACCUGGGAACUGCAUUUGUGACUGCAAGGCUAGAGUACGGCAGAGGGGGAUGGAAUUCCGCGUGUAGCAGUGAAAUGCGUAGAUAUGCGGAGGAACACCAAUGGCGAAGGCAAUCCCCUGGGCCUGUACUGACGCUCAUGCACGAGAGCAUGGGGAGCAAACAGG